Molecule: long non-coding RNA, 6086 nt
Filed under: Marmota monax (woodchuck)
Lineage: Eukaryota; Metazoa; Chordata; Mammalia; Rodentia; Sciuridae
Source: RNAcentral
GGGAACCCAGGGCAGGAGCAGCAGCAGCAAUCACUCCAUGGGGACCUCGGAACUCUGAGAAAAAAGCUUCAUCACCACCCUGGCAUAGCCAUGCAGGGUGGAGGUGGCUGCAGGUGAGAGGUCCCAAAGGAGAAUAGCCUGAGGGGCAAAUAACCUGGCUUUGAGGUUGCAGCAUUUCCUGGACUCCAUCCAAGCCCCAGGGACUGGCACAGAAGAGCUACCUGGCAGAAAGUUGAACAGGGCAGGGCCAGGCAGCCUUACAACACUCUGCGUUGUCAUAGGGCUGCAGGGAGAUGAACUUUCUCUGCUGCGUCUGCUGAGUGCUGACAGGUUUCCCAAGCUACCUUUGAACUCUACUUCUCAAAUAUUGGGUUAACUCAAGAAGGUCACUCGAGUUGAUAUACUAUGGGAUGUGAAGGAAGCAUCCUCAGAUCCUUGUUUCUGUAAUCAUGAGCACCUUGAAAUCAAUAUCAAGUGGGAUUCUGAAGCAGGGCUUCCUUCCCUCCCUGCUAAGAAGCCUCCAGCGUAGGGCCCUCAGCUCUCAGCCUCUUAGAAAGAAGCAUGGAGCUGACAAGUCAAGGAGCCGACCUCCUUCCAAGUCUCCUGCUUCACAGGUGAACCAAUCUCCCAAAGUAUUUCUGGAAUCAUUGCCUUCAGUGGCUGUGAAAGGAUCAAUCCCUGAGGAGUAAGGAGAGGAGGGGAGAUGUUUCUGGAAUCUGGGGUGGGAGGUGUUUGGUUCUCCCCGCAUGGCUUGAACUGGUCACUUCUAUUCGAUCAUUCAUUUACUCAACACUUUCAAAGGGUUUAUAGCACUGGGGAGUCUUAGAGGAGUAAGGGUUCUGACCUCCAUUAGCUCACAGGUCAGCAGGUGAGAAGCUGUCUACAGAGCACACAGAACAAAGGAGGAAAGUGCUGGUACCUAGGAGCACAGGGAGGUGCCUAGGAGCACAGGAAGUGGGAGGUAGUUUUCCUGGAGGGUCCCUGACUUGAGACUCACCAAAUGUCUAGCAGCUGUCGGAGUGAAGUGGAAGCUGGGGAACAAGGUUUUCCAAGUGCAAGGAGCAACCUCAGCUAAGGAGCGAGAUUCAGUCCCUUGUCUCAACAAAGGGUGUUUCUGGCUGAGCUCCAGAAACUCUUCUUUCUCUCCAUGUCAGGGGCUUGGACUUCCUUCUCUAUAUUCAGGCCAAAGGGCUCAUUCUGAGCACAACUGAAUUCCAAACUCAGAAUUUUUUUUUUCCCCCCUAGCAGAAACAUGCGAUUCUGAAAUCCUGCCAAACACACCAAAGAGCUCUUCCCAAGAAGGCAUGAGCCGGGUAGAGACAGCUGCAGAGUGGGAGGAGAGUGGUGUUUUGAACCAGAAAACAAGAGUCGAAAGAGGCCAAUAAUUCACAAAGCACAGGCACUGCAUAAAGGUGUCUUUUCCACUUGAUGAGGAUUGUGUUUCAUAAUAUUAAAUGUCACAACCAGACAAGCAAGUAGACUUUGGAGGAAGGCACAGCUGGAUUUCAGACCUGGCUCUACCAUUUAAGAUCUUGGGCCACUUAUGGCAGAUUUCUUAUUUCCCAGUUUCUAUAUAUAAUAUAGGGCUGAGCAUAUCCUUAAAUCCACUUUGGUAACAAUUAGGUGAGAUAACAGUGAUCAACACUUAAAGCUUGGCACAGAAAGUGUUUCAGCAAAGGGUAGCUGAGCUUCAUGGUUCUCCUGAGCACUGGUUCUUGGUCUAAAGAAAAUAAUAUAAGGGCUCAGUCCUCAAGUGGGCCAGUUAAUAUGUUGCCCCUCCCUUACCCUUCUCAGAAAUGUCUGAGAUGAGCCUCAAUGCUGGGGGAGACUGUAGAGCAAGUCAAAAUAAACCCAUUACCACUUCUCAAAAAAGAGCUCCAGUGGGCAUGGUGGUGCUUGCCUGUAAUCCCAGCAACUCGGGAGCUGAGAAAGGAGGAUCCCAAGUUCAAGGCCAGCCUCAGCAACUUAAUGAGGCCCUAAGCAACUUAGUGAUACCCUGUCAUAAAAUAAGAAAAUUUAAAAAAAAGAGCUGUGGAUGUGGCUCAGUGGUAAAGCACCCUUGGGUUCAAUUCCCAGUACCCACCCACCUCCCAAAAGAAAAACCCUCCAAUCACAUGCUGACUGUGAACCAUUCUAUGACAUAAUUAAUUCCAAAAUGUGACAUCUAUUUGGGAUCAAAGUGAUACUAUCUCUUCCUUGGCAAUUUUUGCAAAGAGCAGAAACCACUAGGAUAAAGGAAACCUCAGAUGUAUCAGCAUGAGCCACUCUGCAGUGGCUACAUUUUCUGAGACUUUCUUUACUUUUGGAAUUUCCUUAUUUCCCUCUCAUCUUUACGUGUGUGUCUGGAAUAUGGGAACCUGGCUUCUAGUCAUCUAAUACUUAACAUUUCUUCUACUCCUUCCUUAAUUCCAUCACUGUUCUGGGCCAGUGUUUGAGGAACUCUCAGAACAGUCCUGGACAAGGGUUCAAGAAUCACUGCCUUUGAACCAGCAGAAAGUACUGAUUGGUAGGAUUGUAAAUCCACAGGAAACAUGCAUUGAGGUCUCACAGGGAGACUGUCUCCAUCCAGGACAGCAUGGGUCACCAUCAGGCCAGGUCUUCUCAGUGCCUCUCUGACCUCACACCUAUGUCUCUGUGUGAUCGGGGUGGAGUGUUGAGGUGUGGUCUUCCUAGGUUUGCUGUAAUCACAAACAGGGUAGCUUUGAAAAACAAACCCACUGUCUAACAGUUCUAGAGGCUAGAAGUCCAAGAUCUAGGUGUCAACAGAGUCGUGCUCUCUUUGAAGAUUCUGGGGCUGGGAGUCAGGCAAGGGCAGAGUCAGGGAAAAGCCUUCCUAUCUCGUUCCAUUUUCUGGUGGCUACUGACAACCCUUGAUGUCCCUGGGCUUGUAGAUGUGUGGCUCUAAUCUCUGUUCCCAUCUUCACAUGAACUUCUCCCUGUGUGUCCAUCUUCCUGAAUGUCCCUCCUUUAUAAGGAUGCCUCAUUGGAUUAGGAUGCCUCUGCUUCUAAUAUGAUCUCAUCUUACUGAGGCUAGAGUUAUUAAUCCAAAUAAGGUCACCUUCACAGGUGCCUGGAGUUAGGACAUCAGUGUAUCUCUUUGGGGGACACAACUCAACCCACCACAGUCAGUGUGCUCCUGAUAACUGUCUUCCAGCACUCUCCUUCUGGCUCAAAGAUAUGGUCAGAGAGCAUGAGAUCUGGGUUUCCAUGGCCCCCAGGACCAUCUCUGGGAGGUAAAGAGUAGGGCUAACUCUUUGAACUGUUUUCAUGAAAGCACAGGGAAAGGAGCUUUCCCAAAACAAACUUUUGGGGAGAGGGUCCCUCAUGGGAACUGCCUGUACUUCUGACCUGAACCUCCUGUUUCCAGGCCUGGACCAGGAAUCCCCUUCAAGUUUUUUAGUCCAGUAACCCAAUCCUUGCCCUCAGAAAUGUCUACCUUCCCCCCAAAGUGGAUGAUCCAUCUUUAGAUCAUUUCCUGCAUCUGAAAUAACCCAACAGAUGCCACAGAGCCAUCCUGAAGCACUUCAGCUGUGUGCUCUUGGCCAUUUUUCUCUCCUGUUUGCACUGAAUGGGGAGCAAUAGUGAAAGAGGCAGGUCUUCAGUCUUCAUUUCUGUGCAGAGGGAGCCGUGGCCAGUGCUCUUACCACGUCACUUUAUGUCUCUGUGACCACAACCUUCACCUUGCCCAUUUUGGAAUAAUAUACUUAGCAACAAUGGGAACAUUUUGCUUUGUUCUGCCUGUGCUGAACCUGUUUACUUUGCAAGAGAAAUCAUACUGGUUGUCAUAGUUAUGCUCUUUGCUCCCCGAGUUGAAUAGGACCAGUUUUGAUGUUAUCUUAUAUCCUUUAUAAUUAAUUAUAUUAUAUUCUGGAUCUCAGAUGGUGGGUGGUGGAGCAGGUUUGCCAAUGCAUUCCAUUACAAUGCUUUUAAAAUAAACCCUCCGAAUUAAAACCAUGUUAUUAUCUCCUUUUACUUUUAAAUAGAUUUUCAAAUGUUCAUCAAGUUAAAAAAGAAACAUAUUUAAACCCUCAUGGUCUUUCAUUUAAUGAUGUUGGGAAAGAAUCUGGAAGAAGGAGAAGUCACAGAAAUAUCUUAGGAGAUAUUUGCUCAUAUGCAAAACCCUCUGUUAGUUCCACUGUGGCCAGGUGAGGUGAAGCCUUAUCAGUUCAUACCAGGACAAGCUAUAAGAACUUGGGACUUGUUCCCCAGCCUCCAACUUCUUUCCCCUGCAGCCUGUGCUGUCUAGACAUCUCAGUCAUCGUGUGAUGUGUCCACUCAAAGUUUCUCAAUACCUCCUCACUGAUGGCAGGGUAAAUUCUAUCCUCCUCAAUCAGAUAUUCAACAUAUCCUGCCAUCAGACUCCUCCUGGCUUUCCAGAUGGGCUUAGUCAUCGUCUCAUUGUCCAGCGACAAUACCAAAAUACCUUUACUUCAUGCCUAGAGUUAUGGCUCCCUCUGAAUUCUCCCUCUUAGAAAUCAUUCCCCUUCUGGUGUCUGUCCAAAUCCAACCCAGGUCCUCUUUCUAGUGUAUAUGAAAGCACAGUCUCUGCACCUGUCUAUCUAGCUUGGUGAGCCAUAAUUUUAUGCUUCAUUUCCACUUACCAAUACGUGAACAGAGAUGAAUAUAUUUCUAGGCAAGAUGGAACCCCCUUCCUCACAUAUUCUUCUCCUUUUCAUUGGCAGCUCCACCACCCUUCAGCUGCUCGGAACCAGAGACUUUUUGGCUCCCUUUCUUUACAAACCCAGGAAGGACUUGGUAUCACUGAGACACUGUUCUCUUUGCAAUAAUCUGUGUGGAUAUUGUCUCCCACGUUGUGCACCUAUUUUCCAAACCAAUUUCCUUGAACAAGCAAGGAGGUAGGGGACACUGAUGUCUAUUGUAUACCUACCAAGCUCCUCAUGCAAGCAUCUUCAGCCAUACUGAAAUGUAUCUGCAAGCCCCUCCGGAAGUGUUUUGGUCCAAACUUUCAAAUGAGGGAACUGAAGCUCAGACAGGGUUAAUGACUUUCCCUGGGACAGUUUGAUGCCCGAUAUGGUGCCAAAGAGAGAGAGAAAAAAUGUUGUGGGAUGGAGCUCGUUAGAACAGGCUUCACAGAUGCAGUGGCUGUGAGCCAAACCUUGGCUGGGUGGGCAGGAGGCGAGGAGGGAGCACUGCGUGUGAGCAGCAUCACAAAGAUUUCAGACUCAACGCGACAAUGUGAGCAUUUAUGGCUUCCAGAGAUCGUCCCUGAUUUCCUUUAAGAAUGCAGUAUUAAAGUUAAUUGCCUGGUUUGGAACAUGCAAACACUGAAAUGUGCUAGAACGAUCAAAGUUCAGAGGUAAAUGAACUUUUAUGGCAGCAGGUUGAGAAUGGAAUAAAUGCUGAUGAGGAGCAGGGGAUUUAUAUAUUAACUGCAGGUCAAAAGAGGACUCUCACCCAAGGUAGCUGAAUCUGGCAAACACACAAUCCCAGAUGGUUUCACACAGGGGGAUAAAAAUGAAUGAGCCAAUGUAGAUUCAUCGAUGGUAACAAAUGUACCACGGCGGGGAGGGGGCGCGUGCGAACGCUCUGUACUUUCUACCCUAUUUUUCUGCAAAUCUACAACUGCUCUAAAAUAUAAGGUUGACUUUAAAUAAAUAAAUUAAAUUUUUUAAAAAAUGUUUAAACAACGAGGCCAGGUGCUGAAACUGACCACCGUGGCAUGAGAAGAGAGGAAUGUGUUACCCCCUCUUGGUGUGUUGGGGUAUACUCACCCUGCUCAGCUAAUGUGUUGCCCUUUUAUUUUUCCAGUUUGCUCAUCAAUGAAAUGCUCAUGAACACUGAAGACCUCAAGAAGUGAGACAUGGACUAGAGAAAGAAGAAAAUGAAAAGGAGGAACGGAAGGAUACUUUAGUAGACGACAUAUUGAAAAAUGAAAAGCAGGCUGCAUGUGGAAUUUGCAAAACCAUAAGGAUUAUGUGUCUAGGAAGAGUUUUAUAGAACAUUUAAUAUAUGGUUUUCCUUGGGAAUUACUCCUCUCAUUUUCUGUUCUCUCUUCUCUAAAAAUGAGAUAGUAAUACCUGCCACAUAUGGUGAUGGUAAGGAUUAGAUUACAUCAAGCAUAUAAA